GGUUGCAUGGUCUAGUUGGUUAUGACAUUCGCCUCACACGCGAGAGGUCUCGAGUUCGAUCCUCGAUGGAAUCA
Molecule: transfer RNA, 74 nt
Filed under: Metschnikowia bicuspidata var. bicuspidata NRRL YB-4993
Lineage: Eukaryota; Fungi; Ascomycota; Pichiomycetes; Serinales; Metschnikowiaceae
Rfam family: tRNA
About the family: Transfer RNA (tRNA) molecules are approximately 80 nucleotides in length.
Source: Rfam by way of RNAcentral